Molecule: ribosomal RNA, 433 nt
Filed under: uncultured bacterium
Lineage: Bacteria
Description: partial 16S ribosomal RNA
Rfam family: Bacterial small subunit ribosomal RNA
Source: RNAcentral
AACGAACGCUGGCGGCAUGCCUAACACAUGCAAGUCGAACGCGACCUUCGGGUCUAGUGGCGCCCGGCUACGGAACGCGUGGGAACCUGCCCUUAGGUUCGGAAUAACUUCACGAACGGGGUGCUAAUACCGGAUAAUGUCUUAGGACCAAUGAUUUAUCGUCUUUGGUUGGGCCCGCGUUGAUUUAGCUAGUUGGUAGGGUAAAAGCCUACCAAGGCGACGAUCCAUAGCUGGUUUGAGAGGAUGAUCAGCCACACUGGGACUGAGACACGGCCCAGACUCCUACGGGAGGCAGCAGUGGGGAAUAUUGGACAAUGGGCGAAAGCCUGAUCCAGCAAUGCCGCGUGAGUGAUGAAGGCCUUAGGGUUGUAAAGCUCUUUUACCCGGGAUGAUAAUGACAGUACCGGGAGAAUAAGCUCCGGCUAACUCCGUG